RNAcentral lists this ribosomal RNA (497 nucleotides) under uncultured bacterium. RNAcentral describes it as "partial 16S ribosomal RNA". It matches the Rfam family "Bacterial small subunit ribosomal RNA", at positions 28 to 507 of the family's 1533-position model. The record is from RNAcentral.
GAUGAACGCUGGCGGCGUGCCUAAUACAUGCAAGUCGAGCGAACGGACGAGAAGCUUGCUUCCCUGAUGUUAGCGGCGGACGGGUGAGUAACACGUGGAUAACCUACCUAUAAGACUGGGAUAACUUCGGGAAACCGUAGCUAAUACCGGAUAAUAUUUUGAACCGCAUGGUUCAAAAGUGAAAGACGGUCUUGCUGUUUCUUAUAGAUGGACCCGCGCUGCAUUAGCUAGUUGGUAAGGUAACGGCUUACCAAGGCAACGAUGCAUAGCCGACCUGAGAGGGUGAUCGGCCACACUGGAACUGAGACACGGUCCAGACUCCUACGGGAGGCAGCAGUAGGGAAUCUUCCGCAAUGGGCGAAAGCCUGACGGAGCAACGCCGCGUGAGUGAUGAGGUUCUUCGGGUCGUAAAACUCUGUUAUGAGGGAAGAACAUAUGUGUAAGUAACUAUGCACAUCUUGACGGUACCUAAUCAGAGAGCCACGGCUAACUACGUG